This 903-nucleotide ribosomal RNA is filed under the name Trichosporum symbioticum. RNAcentral's name for it is "partial large subunit ribosomal RNA". It matches the Rfam family "Eukaryotic large subunit ribosomal RNA", at positions 27 to 960 of the family's 3401-position model. Lineage: Eukaryota; Fungi; Ascomycota; Eurotiomycetes; Onygenales. The record is from RNAcentral.
GCUGAAACUUAAGCAUAUCAAUAAGCGGAGGAAAAGAAACCAACAGGGAUUGCCUCAGUAACGGCGAGUGAAGCGGCAACAGCUCAAAUUUGAAAUCUGGCCUUCGGGUCCGAGUUGUAAUUUGGAGAGGAUGCUUUUGGCGCGGCGCCGUCCGAGUUCCUUGGAACAGGACGCCAUAGAGGGUGAGAGCCCCGUACGGGCGGCCGCCUAGCCUCUGUAAAGCUCCUUCGACGAGUCGAGUAGUUUGGGAAUGCUGCUCAAAAUGGGAGGUAAAUUUCUUCUAAAGCUAAAUACUGGCCAGAGACCGAUAGCGCACAAGUAGAGUGAUCGAAAGAUGAAAAGCACUUUGAAAAGAGGGUUAAAAAGUACGUGAAAUUGUUGAAAGGGAAGCGCCUGUGACCAGACUUGCGGCCCGUGGACCAUCCGGUGUUCUUCACCGGUGCACUCUGCGGGCUGCAGGCCAGCAUCGGUUCUCCUAGGGGGACAAAGGUCGCGGGAACGUAGCUCCUUCGGGAGUGUUAUAGCCCGCUUCGUCAUGCCUCUGGGGGGACCGAGGACCGCGCUUCGGCAAGGAUGCUGGCGUAAUGGUCACCGGCGACCCGUCUUGAAACACGGACCAAGGAGUCAAGCAUUGGGGCGAGUGUCUGGGUGCCAAACCCGCACGCGAAAUGAAAGUAAACGCAGGUGAGAGCUUCGGCGCAUCACCGACCGAUCCUGAUGUCUUCGGAUGGAUUUGAGUAAGAGCCUUACCGCUUGGACCCGAAAGAUGGUGAACUAUGCCUGUAUAGGGUGAAGCCAGAGGAAACUCUGGUGGAGGCUCGCAGCGGUUCUGACGUGCAAAUCGAUCGUCAAAUAUGGGCAUGGGGCGAAAGACUAAUCGAACCAUCUAGUAGCUGGUUACCG